RNAcentral lists this ribosomal RNA (404 nucleotides) under uncultured bacterium. RNAcentral's name for it is "bacterial SSU rRNA". It matches the Rfam family "Bacterial small subunit ribosomal RNA", at positions 355 to 776 of the family's 1533-position model. The record is from RNAcentral.
UAGGGAAUCUUGCACAAUGGGCGAAAGCCUGAUGCAGCCAUGCCGCGUGAGUGAAGAAGGCUCUAGGGUUGUAAAACUCUUUCAGCGGGGAAGAUAAUGACGGUACCCGCAGAAGAAGCCCCGGCUAACUCCGUGCCAGCAGCCGCGGUAAUACGGAGGGGGCUAGCGUUGUUCGGAAUUACUGGGCGUAAAGCGCGCGUAGGCGGAUUAGUAAGUCAGUGGUGAAAGCCCGGGGCUCAACCUCGGAACUGCCUUUGAUACUGCUAGUCUUGAGUUCGAGAGAGGUGAGUGGAAUUUCUAGUGUAGAGGUGAAAUUCGUAGAUAUUAGAAAGAACACCAGUGGCGAAGGCGGCUCACUGGCUCGAUACUGACGCUGAGGUGCGAAAGCGUGGGGAGCAAACAGG